This 429-nucleotide ribosomal RNA is filed under the name Chloroflexota bacterium. Its description in RNAcentral is "Chloroflexi bacterium partial 16S ribosomal RNA". It matches the Rfam family "Bacterial small subunit ribosomal RNA", at positions 355 to 776 of the family's 1533-position model. The record is from RNAcentral. Lineage: Bacteria; Bacillati; Chloroflexota.
UGGGGAAUAUUGCACAAUGGGCGCAAGCCUGAUGCAGCCAUGCCGCGUGUAUGAAGAAGGCCUUCGGGUUGUAAAGUACUUUCAGCUGGGAGGAAGGGAGUAAAGUUAAUACCUUUGCUCAUUGACGUUACCCGCAGAAGAAGCACCGGCUAACUCCGUGCCAGCAGCCGCGGUAAUACGGAGGGUGCAAGCGUUAAUCGGAAUUACUGGGCGUAAAGCGCACGUAGGCGGUUUGUUAAGUCAGAUGUGAAAUCCCCGGGCUCACCCUGGGAACUGCCUCUGAUACUGGCAAGCUUGAGUCUCGUAGAGGUGGGUCGAAUUCCAGGUGUAGCGGUGAAAUGCGUAGAGAUCUGGAGGAAUACCGGUGGCGAAGGCGGCCCCCUGGACGAAGACUGACGCUCAGGUGCGAAAGCGUGGGGAGCAAACAGG